GACGAACGCUGGCGGCGUGCUUAACACAUGCAAGUCGAACGGAAAGGCCCUGCUUUUGUGGGGCUCUCGAGUGGCGAACGGGUGAGUAACACGUGAGUAACCUGCCCUUGACUUUGUGAUAACUUCUGGAAACUGGGUCUAAUACCGGAUAUGAGCUCCUGCUGCAUGGUGGUGGUUGGAAAGUUUCGGCGGUUGGGGCUGGACUCGCGGCUUAUCAGCUUGUUUGUGGGGUAGUGGCUUACCAAGGCUUUGACGGGUAGCCGGCCUGAGAGGGUGAACGGGCACAUUGGGCCUGAGAUACGGCCCAGACUCCUACGGGCGGCAGCAGUGGGGAAUAUUGCACAAUGGGCGGAAGCCUGAUGCAGCAACGCCGCGUGCGGGAUGACGGCCUUCGGGUUGUAAACCGCUUUCGCCUGUGACGAAGCGUGAGUGACGGUAAUGGGUAAAGAAGCACCGGCUAACUACGUG
This 468-nucleotide ribosomal RNA is filed under the name uncultured bacterium. RNAcentral's name for it is "partial 16S ribosomal RNA". It matches the Rfam family "Bacterial small subunit ribosomal RNA", at positions 28 to 507 of the family's 1533-position model. The record is from RNAcentral.